UUUAAUUUAGACCUGGUAACAGCUUCGGUGUCGCUUAAACCUCAUUUUGUGUCGAAUCUGCCGGGUUGCAUUUACCUAAAAUGGCAAACACAAGCUACAGACACACAGGGAGCAAUCUUCUUAACUGCCACUGAAGGCUAAUAAAAAUUAGCUGGUGGCAGGUUUUUAUGCACAAACAUGUCUUUGUGAACACAUUCAAACAUUUCGGCGUAUAUUUUAAAUAAAUUAAUUGUGUACUCGGCUGCUGAGGAGCUAUUGUUGACUGCUAAUGUGAGAUGUCUGAAGGAUUACAAUACGAAACUCCGUUGGAAAAAAGUGCUCGGGCAAUUGGCUGGUUAACAGCGGCAGCUCUGGCGCAGCCAAUCAGAGCGCAGCAAGCCGAGGAGCUGUCUGCUAUUAGAGGCACGGCUCAGGAGUCCUUCAACACAGAGCAGAGAGAGAGGGGGCCGAGCGCUAUCGGCAGCCAUUUUCCUAAAAACAGGGACUCAAAUGGCCUAUAUGGGGUUUCCUUUGUUCCAAAAAGGGAUCUAACACUUGAUUUCCUCAUCUCUCACUAUGGACUAUGAUAAAAACUAUGAUUCCUCCUUUUAAAGGAUUGAGAAGAAGGAAGAGAAUGUACUGGAUGUAAUACCCUCUGUGACAUCUUGAGCCUUUUUUCCUCUGCCUUGGAAUCCAUCUUUGUCUUAACUAGGUCAUGGCACACCCAUAAUACAGUAAUAGCAUUUAAGUGAAAAGAAAAUCAAAUGUUGGUGAAUAAACAGCCUGUAUGAUUUUUGGAGAAAUUAGUGGGGAGGAGAAAAAAAACACAGUUUAAAGUGGCAAUGUGUAAUGGCUGUUUGUUGGGCAUUGCACUGUGUAUGGGCCUAUUGUAGGAUAUGAGUAGCAAUGAGUAAGUUCAACUCUUUUAUAAUAAUUUGUUUGCUAAUAAUGUAAAAUGUGAGGCAUGCAGUUACUGUUAUAAAAAAAGUGAUUUCUGUCAAUU
This is a long non-coding RNA of Sebastes umbrosus (honeycomb rockfish), 982 nucleotides long. RefSeq lists it as uncharacterized. The transcript has 2 exons. NCBI's taxonomy places the organism in Eukaryota, Metazoa, Chordata, Actinopteri, Perciformes, Sebastidae. The record is from RefSeq and is a predicted model, not a curated record.